RNAcentral lists this unclassified non-coding RNA (249 nucleotides) under Hevea brasiliensis (rubber tree). Lineage: Eukaryota; Viridiplantae; Streptophyta; Magnoliopsida; Malpighiales; Euphorbiaceae. The record is from RNAcentral.
UUCCGACCUCCGAUGACUUCAAUGUCACUUCAUCCACCAAAACUUUCCCUUUGAAGAUGAGUUUUUGGCCGCGAGAGAGGACAUUUGUGAGUGGUUGAAGGAGAGACUUGAGGUGUUUGACAGUGGACUCGUCGGAGAUUUCCACCGGUAUCGAUCGACCGCUGAACCUAACAUUCACUGUGAUAGUACGAUUACCGGCAUCGCUUUUUCCCUCUUUCUCCAUUUCUCUUUACUCGCCGCCGAUGUCUG